RNAcentral lists this ribosomal RNA (494 nucleotides) under uncultured bacterium. RNAcentral's name for it is "bacterial SSU rRNA". It matches the Rfam family "Bacterial small subunit ribosomal RNA", at positions 28 to 517 of the family's 1533-position model. The record is from RNAcentral.
GACGAACGCUGGCGGCGUGCUUAACACAUGCAAGUCGAACGGUAAGGCCCUUUCGGGGGUACACGAGUGGCGAACGGGUGAGUAACACGUGGGUAAUCUGCCCUGCACUCUGGGAUAAGCCUGGGAAACUGGGUCUAAUACCGGAUAUGAGCUUCCAUCGCAUGGUGGGGGUUGGAAAGUUUUUUCGGUGCAGGAUGUGCCCGCGGCCUAUCAGCUUGUUGGUGGGGUAAUGGCCUACCAAGGCAACGAUCUCUAGCUGGUCUGAGAGGACGAUCAGCCACACUGGGACUGAGACACGGCCCAGACUCCUACGGGAGGCAGCAGUGGGGAAUAUUGGACAAUGGGCGAAAGCCUGAUCCAGCAAUGCCGCGUGUGUGAAGAAGGCCUGAGGGUUGUAAAGCACUUUCAAUCGUGAAGAAAAGUUGCAGGCUAAUACCCUGUGACCUUGACGUUAACGAUACAAGAAGCACCGGCUAACUCCGUGCCAGCAGCCG